This 1237-nucleotide ribosomal RNA is filed under the name metagenome. Its description in RNAcentral is "bacterial LSU rRNA". It matches the Rfam family "Bacterial large subunit ribosomal RNA", at positions 1564 to 2808 of the family's 2925-position model. The record is from RNAcentral.
UGAGUACGAGAUGCUACGGCAUCGAAGCAGUCUAUGUCAUACUUCCAAGAAAAGCUUGCAAUGUCAUAAACAAAUAAUGCCUGUACCAUAACCGACACAGGUGGGUAGGUAGAGUAUACUAAGGGGCGCGAGAUAACUCUCUCUAAGGAACUCGGCAAAAUGACUCCGUAACUUCGGGAGAAGGAGUGCCAUAUUUUUAUAAGGUUGCAAUAACAAGAUCCAAGCAACUGUUUACCAAAAACACAGGUCUCCGCUAAGUCGUAAGACGAUGUAUGGGGGCUGACGCCUGCCCAGUGCCAGAAGGUUAAAGAAGUUGGUUAGCAUUAGCGAAGCUGAUAACUGAAGCCCUGGUGAACGGCGGCCGUAACUAUAACGGUCCUAAGGUAGCGAAAUUCCUUGUCGGGUAAGUUCCGACCCGCACGAAAGGCGUAAUGAUUUGGAUACUGUCUCGGAGAGGGGCUCGGUGAAAUAGACUUGUCUGUGAAGAUGCGGACUACCUGCACCUGGACAGAAAGACCCUAUGAAGCUUUACUGUAACUUGAGAUUGAAAUUGGACUUUAUCUGCGCAGUAUAGGUGGGAGACGUUGAAAAUAUUCUUGCGGGAAUAUUGGAGUCAUCAGUGAGAUACCACUCUUAUAAUGUUAGAUUUCUAACUUUGUAUCAUUAUCUGGUCAAAGAGCAGUUUCAGGCGGGCAGUUUGACUGGGGCGGUCGCCUCCCAAACGGUAACGGAGGCGCACAAAGGUUUCCUCUGAACGUGUAGAAAUCGUAUCUAGAGUGUAAAGGCAUAAGGAAGCUUGACUGUGAGACCUACAAGUCGAGCAGGGACGAAAGUCGGUCUUAGUGAUCUGACGGUGCUGAGUGGAAAGGCCGUCACUCAACGGAUAAAAGUUACUCUAAGGAUAACAGGCUGAUCUCCCCCAAGAGUUCACAUCGACGGGGAGGUUUGGCACCUCGAUGUCGGCUCAUCGCAUCCUGGGGCGGUAGUACGUCCCGAGGGUUGGGCUGUUCGCCCAUGAAAGCGGUACGCGAGCUGGGUUCAGAACGUCGUGAGACAGUUCGUUCCAUAUCCGGUGUAGGCGUUAGAAUAUUGAGAGGAGCCUUCUUUAGUACGAGAGGACCGAGAAGGACAUACCUCUGGUGUACCAGUUAUCGUGCCAACGGUAAACGCUGGGUAGCCAUGUAUGGAGAGGAUAACCGCUGAAAGCAUCUAAGUGGGAAGCCCACCUCAAGAUAAG